This 618-nucleotide ribosomal RNA is filed under the name Triticum aestivum (bread wheat). RNAcentral describes it as "partial small subunit ribosomal RNA". Lineage: Eukaryota; Viridiplantae; Streptophyta; Magnoliopsida; Poales; Poaceae. The record is from RNAcentral.
AUGGGGCUAAUAGCAGUUUACAUCAUCAAUAAAUAUUCUAGAGCUUACUGCUUGUCUAGUCUACUGCUCCUACUUAUUUCCAACACUCUCUUUGUAUCUCUCCCUUCGAAGUUCGAGGAGCAGGGGCAGCACCAAACACCAAGCAAAGCAGCAGAUUCAGCAAUCAGCAGGUACUACGCAGAUACGCAGGUACUACGCAGAUACGCAGAUUCAGCAAAGCAGCUCUCCACUCCCUGGACAAAUCGAUUCAACAAUCAGCAGUCCGACAAUGACACCGGCUACUACGAUGACCACGGUGAAGCCAAGACCAUGGACAAGCUCAACUCCACCUUCUGGCAGGGGGUCGGUCUGAUCGGAUGCGUGCAGUCAGUCGCGUGUCAAGAAGGUGGUGUUCGAUCAGUUCACCGGGGGGACAAACCAGGUUGGGUUCCUGAAGCUGGCCCUUGGGCGAGCGGUGCUGCUGCAAGAGGUGACAGUCAUAAACUGCAGCCGUUGGCUUCCAAGAGAAUGUGGGUCUUGGACAAACCUUCUUUGGAGGUCUGUGGGGGCGCAGCAGGUCACAUUUGGAGGUACAACAGAGCACCUGAUCUUUCUAGCAAAGACCCAUUUAUUUCUUAA